This 52-nucleotide non-coding RNA is filed under the name Trichobilharzia regenti. The record is from RNAcentral. Lineage: Eukaryota; Metazoa; Platyhelminthes; Trematoda; Strigeidida; Schistosomatidae.
AUCCAGCUGACGAGUCCCAAACAGGACAGUCGAAAUGCGCAUUAUCCUGGAU